This 755-nucleotide ribosomal RNA is filed under the name uncultured Glomeromycotina. RNAcentral describes it as "SSU rRNA". It matches the Rfam family "Eukaryotic small subunit ribosomal RNA", at positions 338 to 1092 of the family's 1831-position model. Lineage: Eukaryota; Fungi; Glomeromycota. The record is from RNAcentral.
GGCCUACCAUGGUUUUAACGGGUAACGGGGAAUUAGGGUUCGAUUCCGGAGAGGGAGCCUGAGAAACGGCUACCACAUCCAAGGAAGGCAGCAGGCGCGCAAAUUACCCAAUCCCGACACGGGGAGGUAGUGACAAUAAAUAACAAUACGGGGCUCAUUUGGGUCUCGUAAUUGGAAUGAGUACAAUUUAAAUCUCUUAACGAGGAACAAUUGGAGGGCAAGUCUGGUGCCAGCAGCCGCGGUAAUUCCAGCUCCAAUAGCGUAUAUUAAAGUUGUUGCAGUUAAAAAGCUCGUAGUUGAACUUCGGGGUUCACCCAUUGGUCAGGCUUAAUUGUCUGUACUGGUGAGAUGAGUCUCUACCUUCUGAGGAACUUUCAUGCCAUUUAUUUGGUGUGAUUGGAAAUCAGGACUGUUACUUUGAAAAAAUUAGAGUGUUUAAAGCAGGCUAACGUCUGAAUACAUUAGCAUGGAAUAAUGAAAUAGGACGGAUUGAUUCUAUUUCGUUGGUUUCUAGGAUCACCGUAAUGAUUAAUAGGGAUAGUUGGGGGCAUUAGUAUUCAAUUGUCAGAGGUGAAAUUCUUGGAUUUAUUGAAGACUAACUACUGCGAAAGCAUUUGCCAAGGAUGUUUUCAUUAAUCAAGAACGAAAGUUAGGGGAUCGAAGACGAUCAGAUACCGUCGUAGUCUUAACCAUAAACUAUGCCGACUAGGGAUCGGACGCAGUUAAUUUUAUAAUGACGUGUUCGGCACCUUACG